RNAcentral lists this unclassified non-coding RNA (253 nucleotides) under uncultured Bacillaceae bacterium. Its description in RNAcentral is "contains 16S-23S intergenic spacer region". It matches the Rfam family "Bacterial small subunit ribosomal RNA", at positions 524 to 776 of the family's 1533-position model. The record is from RNAcentral. Lineage: Bacteria; Bacillati; Bacillota; Bacilli; Caryophanales; Bacillaceae.
UACGUAGGUGGCAAGCGUUGUCCGGAAUUAGUGGGCGUAAAGCGCGCGCAGGCGGUGUCUUAAGUCUGAUGUGAAAGCCCACGGCUCAACCGUGGAGGGUCAUUGGAAACUGGGAGACUUGAGUGCAGAAGAGGAGAGUGGAAUUCCACGUGUAGCGGUGAAGUGCGUAGAGAUGUGGAGGAACACCCGUGGCGAAGGUGACUCUCUGGUCUGUAACUGACGCUGAGGCGCGAAAGCGUGGGGAGCAAACAGG